Molecule: ribosomal RNA, 404 nt
Filed under: uncultured bacterium
Lineage: Bacteria
Description: bacterial SSU rRNA
Rfam family: Bacterial small subunit ribosomal RNA
Source: RNAcentral
UAGGGAAUAGUCGGCAAUGGACGAAAGUCUGACCGCGCGACGCCGCGUGAAGGAAGAAGGCCUUCGGGUUGUAAACUUCUUUUAUGAGGGAAGAUUAUGACGGUACCUCAUGAAUAAGGGGCUGCUAACUACGUGCCAGCAGCAGCGGUAAUACGUAGGCCCCGAGCGUUAUCCGGAAUUAUUGGGCGUAAAGUGCGCGUAGGUGUUUUAGUAAGUCAGUCAUUAAAUCUUACGGCUUAACCGUGAGCUCGUGAUUGAUACUAUUAGAAUUGAGUUAUGCAGGGGCAAGCAGAAUUCUUGGAGUAGAGGUGAAAUUCGUUGAUACCAAGAGGAAUACCAAUGGCGAAGGCAGCUUGCUGGGCAAUAACUGACACUGAGGCGCGAAAGCGUGGGGAGCAAACGGG